AACGUAGGAGACAAACGUUAUCCGGAGUUACUGGGCGUAAAGGGCGUGUAGGCGGUUUGUUAAGUCUGGCGUGAAAGCUCUCGGCUAAACCGGGAGAGGUCGUUGGAUACUGGCAAACUAGAGGACGGUAGAGGCGUGUGGAAUUCCGGGUGUAGUGGUGAAAUGCGUAGAGAUCCGGAGGAACACCAGUGGCGAAGGCGACACGCUGGGCCGUACCUGACGCUGAGGAGCGAAAGCGUGGGGAGCGAACAGG
This 253-nucleotide ribosomal RNA is filed under the name uncultured bacterium. RNAcentral describes it as "partial 16S ribosomal RNA". It matches the Rfam family "Bacterial small subunit ribosomal RNA", at positions 524 to 776 of the family's 1533-position model. The record is from RNAcentral.